RNAcentral lists this ribosomal RNA (510 nucleotides) under uncultured bacterium. RNAcentral describes it as "partial 16S ribosomal RNA". It matches the Rfam family "Bacterial small subunit ribosomal RNA", at positions 28 to 507 of the family's 1533-position model. The record is from RNAcentral.
GACGAACGCUGGCGGCGUGCUUAACACAUGCAAGUCGAACGAAGAGCGAUGGAAGCUUGCUUCUAUCAAUCUUAGUGGCGCACGGGCGAGUAACGCGUAAUCAACCUUCCCUUCAGAGGGGGACAACAGUUGGAAACGACUGCUAAUACCGCAUACGAUCUAAUCUCGGCAUCGAGGAAAGAUGAAAGGUGGCCUCUAUUUAUAAGCUAUCACUGCAGGAGGGGAUUGCGUCUGAUUAGCUAGUUGGAGGGGUAACGGCCCACCAAGGCGAUGAUCAGUAGCCGGUAUGCGAGGAGGAACGGCCACAUUGGGACUGAGACCCGCCCCAGACUCCUACGGGAGGCAGCAGUGGGGAAUCUGCCGCAAUGGACGAAAGUCUGACGGAGCAACGCCGCGUGAGUGAUGACGGCCUUCGGGUUGUAAAGCUCUGUUAAUCGGGACGAAAGGACUUCUUGCGAACAGUUAGAAGGAUUGACGGUACCGGAAUAGAAAGCCACGGCUAACUACGUG